Molecule: long non-coding RNA, 1823 nt
Organism: Rhineura floridana
Lineage: Eukaryota; Metazoa; Chordata; Lepidosauria; Squamata; Rhineuridae
Exons: 2
Source: RefSeq, a predicted model, not a curated record
AAGUAGCAACCUUAUUUCGUGCAUGCGUCCCUGCCUGCCUGUCUACUCGCCAGCCGCCCGCCUGCUUUCCCGUUUUCAUCCGCUCGCCACCAUCUCCCUGCCCCUCUUCAGUGUCUCCACCCUCACCAGUCGCUAGAUGAAUGGGCUCGGAGGGUGACAAGAGGACGCGCGCCGGAGUACGGGAAAACUCAUUCUCAGAGGCUCCGAAGGGCUCCCAGCCGAGCCAGGACAACUGACGGCGAAAGACAGAAGGGAGAUGAAGACGGCCAGGAAAGCCGCCACGGCUGCAACCCCAGUGGAGGAGGAACACUGUCGGCUAGGGCACCGAAGCAAGGGAACACGGGAUUGGGCGAAAGGCUGAGUAUCCCGAGACCCUACUGGCUGCCGAGAGCCAACGCUCUGGCUUUCUGCCAGUGAGCCAAGAGUUAAAAGGGAACACGCAAAGAAAGGGUUGGCUUCUCCCAACAAUUGUCGUCACGGCUAGGUUAGAAGCGCAGCCUAUGGGUGUUUCCUCGGAAGUGAGGCCCCUUUAAAUUAAGACAACUCGUCAAUACUGUAAAGGCUCAGGCUGCGAGAAAGGUUGCCUGGUAGUGCACUCCCAUGUAUGCAUACUCUGGUGUAGGAUUUGCAUGUUGGGGAGGAGAGAACCGUGUACGCCACCUUGAGUUCCUUGGAGGAAAGAAAUGGCUGGAUAACCACUGCUCUGCAGUCACAACCAUAUUUGCUGAGCUAGCCGGAAAGGAUGGAAGUGUCUCAUUGGAUUUUUCCCGGUAACAAAAUUGUGCAGAAUGAGGGCUGGGUAAAUGUGUUAUCUCCAUGCAAAAUAGCACUACCUGGCAGGAAGAUCCUCUGGAUCCCACACAACAAAAUAACAAGUGCAUAUUUAUAGCAUGAAGAAAACAGAAAUAUGGAGAGGCCCCAUAGCACAGGAGGACUUGUAUCUAUCAAUGCAGGGAUUCAUUAAAUCUAUUGCAUACCAUGUCAAUUCCUAGCCAACACACCAACACUAAUUGGGUCCUUCAAUCAAGGUUCGAAUUUGCUCAGCAGCAACAACCCAGUGAGAUGGAGUAAAGCAUAACCAGUGAUAAAAAUCACAGACUCAGAAUUGUAAUAGAAAUUAAUCAAUUGGUUUAUUGGUGUACAAUGCUUUGUUUAAGGUAUAUAGAAGAUAAUGACAUUAGCAACCUCACUAUUGACUUUAAGGCAACCAUUUUAUGCCAACAGGUCUAUGCAGCUGUUUAAACUUUCUUGAUUAGCCAGUCUUUUUAAUUAUUAUUUUGUAUUGUUUUUAAUUGUUUUAUGUUUUAUUGUAUAUAUUCUUGUACACUGCCUUGACAUUUUAUAUGAGUUGGUGGUAUAUAGAUAUUUUUAUAAAUAAAUAAUAUGCCAUUUGCAGAAAACAAGGCAACAAACUAAUAUAGUAGAAAACAAUAUAUGUAUGGUUUAUUAAUGGCAUACAUUAAUCAUGGUAAUUGCAUUUGUUUAAUAAUGGCAUGAACUAAUAAUUGCAUUGACAAAGCAAUCAGUAAGAAUAAGUAACAUUGUUAAAAUAGUCUUUCUCCUAAUUUUUUCCAGCCCAUCUAGUUUUGAAACAAAAUUUCUAAAUUCCAUAGCAUAUUAGCAGGUUGGAAUAAAGUUCACAAUUACCAAUGCAGGACAGUAGGCCAGGCAGGGCUGGUGCUAUCAUUAGGCCAGCUAGGCAGCCGCCUAGGGCGCAGACCUCAGAGGGGUGCAGUACUGACCUUUGAGGGGCACAGUUUUAUACAGAUUAGUUUUUUUAACCCUUGGAAAAAAUGCAACUAAAAUAAAUUUAGCAGUUUCAA